Equus caballus (horse) is the source of this 3061-nucleotide long non-coding RNA. Lineage: Eukaryota; Metazoa; Chordata; Mammalia; Perissodactyla; Equidae. The record is from Ensembl.
GUGAAUGUUAUUUUUAAUGAAAGUGGUACAUUUUGACUCACGAUGUUGAAACCAGAUUAUAAAUGAGUCAUCGGUGAAUCAACCACAAGGAGCCUUUAUGAAGGUGAUUUACAGGAGGACUCUGACGUCUGCUGUCCCUUCACACGCUUCGCAGAGAUGCUGUCAGGCUUGGAGUUGGUCUGGGGCAUCUGCUGCCGAGUCAGCUCAAAAGGAUGCUGUGUUGUCACCAGUGGGAUUCCCCAGCCAGCCGGCACUGCGGUCCCACCCACAGAACUAAGGCAGCCAUCACUGAACAAUGCUUGUGGUUACAUCAUAGCUGCUGGCUUCCAGGUAGUGACUAGUAGAUACUGGGGAGAGUCACAGGCCAUCUGUUGCUCCCUGCUCCCAGACUCUUCCCUAAUGCCCACAUCCCCUCACCUGGUCAUCAAGAGGCUCAGUAGGAGGGCAGAAAAGUGAGACUUAAAGGUGAACAGACCUGGGCUUGAGUCCUAGGUCUAACGGAAUGGCCACAAAGAGUCAGGCAACAGCCUCAUGUUGCUCGUGUCUGAAAUGUAAACAUUAUCACCUACCAUGCCUCCCUUGCAGGAACCUUGCAAGGUUCUCGUGGGACCGUGCGAGUGAAAGUGUCUUGGAGACUGUCACAGGCCAUACCAAGAAAACAGGAAAUGGAGGCCAGAGGGUAAAUCCACACGCAAGUAUACUCUGGCUCCCCAGCCAACAGGGAGGCUGCCCAGCGGCCGAUUUAUAGUCCCAGACUCUCCAGGACAUUAUCCGAAUUUAGCAGAAGUAACAAUGUGUGACUUCCAAAGCCAGCCCUUGCAGCUUCCACUUUCGCCCUCUGGAACUGCUGCCCUGGGGCCACCAUGCGAGGAAGCUGCUAGCCUGCUGGAAUAGGGGAGGCCACAUGGAGGAGAAGUGAGAUCCCCAACUUGACCGCCAGCACCAGCUGCCAGACUGUCAGAGAGGCCAUCCUGAGAUGACCUUCUAGCCCAGAUUCUGUGGAUCCGGAAUUUGGACAGAGAACAGAGAGGAUGACUUAUGUCUGCGCUACAACGUCUGGGGCCUCAACAGAAAAGACUCAAAGGCUGGGGUGACUCGACAGCUAGGGUUUAGAAUCAUGUGAAUGCUUGUUCACUCAUAUAUCUGGCAUCUGAUACAGACUAGGACUGCAGACCCAUGGUCUACAUGUGGCCUCUCCAUGUGGCUUGGCUUCCCCACAGCAAGGCAGCCACAGGAUAGUCAGACUUCUUCCUUGGUUACAGAACCCAAAAGCAUUGUCCCAGCAAACAAGACAGAGCAGCAGUGGCUUUUGUGACCCAGCUUCAGAAGUGGCACAGCAUCACUUCUCUCCUACUUUACACUGGUCAAAGUAGCCUCAAGUCUGUGAGGAGGAGGGAUGAGACUCUGUCUCUUAAUGGGAAAGGAAUCAAAGAAUUUUGAGGGUAUGUUCUGUCACAUUGCCCGAGACAUAGUCUCAGCGUUGAGCUAUUCUUCCUAAGCCUGUUACCAGCUGCCUGUUGAAAGAAUUGAUUGUCUCCUUAAUGUUCCUCUGUUGACCUGUGAAUGUCUUGCUGCAUCUCCCCCUACCCCUAACUAUCUGAAUUCUCAGCUGCUCCACUAUAUAUCAAGAAGUCUUCACUUGAUAUAAGAUCCUGACUCCCGAAAUGGAGUACACAGGAUCUCCCUCUGUACAGCAGGGCUUCUAAAUCUGUCAACAGCCCCUCCUCCAUGAUGGAUGGUCCAUCUCCAGUUUACAACCUGGUCCCUGUUAAUCCUCUGUAACUUCUUGUCAGGACUCCUUAAAGGGAUGAAAUAUUUUUCUGAACGUUGAAAACUCUGCAAACACACAAGAGAGGAGUUAUUAAACAAGCUCACAGUGGCUUCUUCACAAUACCAUUUGAUUGAAAAUAGUUUGACAAGGAAAAUUAAUCCCAGACUGAACUGAGGACUCAUUUUCCAAAAUGGGAAGAAAUGCUUCUCCUUCCACCAUCAAAGCCCCUCAAAAUGCCACCAAGAUUGUUGAAUAACACUGACUUGAGACAGGAAACCAAACGACUGGAAAUCCAGCUGCCCCUGGUUUAUUCAUAUUUACGCCUACAGAUUCACCCUUCGGCCUGGGCAAGCUUGACUCAAGAGAAGAGUUUCAUGCGCCUGAGCACCUAGCACCGGAUUUUAGAAGCUUCACGUUGCACUGACUGACAAGAAUUUCUGUUGGAGAAAACCUAAGGGUGUCCAUGGAAUUGUGUGAAAUAGUGGGACAGAAAGAGGCAGGGACCACAUCCCAGAGGGAGAUCAAAUGAAGCAAAACAAAGGAAGAGAAGGACUAGACCCAAACCCAGACCCCACACACAGCCUAGGACACGGCUCGGGUUGUCUGGAAGCAGUUCCCAGACAGAAACCUCAGUGUGAUGAAUCAGUUUCCUUGGACAUAGAGGGGAUAAAGAGUCUGCUGUAGAGACAGAGCAUAUUUAUUCAAGGAAUGGCUGUGAGAAUCGGGUAUGGGCAGAGGUGGGGGUGGAGUAUGUGGUGGCAAAAAGCCACCAUGAAUCCCCAGUCUAGACACUGAGCCCAUAAUGCCCAGGGAGAAGCAAACGAUCUAAAAGAGAAGGCAUGCUGGGGAGAAGCCAGUUGAGCCUGGCUCUGAAAUGACUGGUUGUGAUACCAGAGUCAGAUACUGCAGACGAGUCUUUGAAAAUCACAGAGAGGAGAAAAUAGAGAUGAUUUUAAGAUAAAUGUUAAUAGAAGCCCAAGUCUUCUCUCUUAUAAAUCAAAUUCCAUUGUAAACAAUGCCAUAAAAAAUGUCUACACCUCUAAAUAGCGAAGAUUUCCAAGUCUUAGAAGAAGGCCCCCUUAUAUGAAGCAACACAAACACAAUGAGUGUGAAAGCAACACUUAGACAACCUUGAAUUAUUCAGGACCAUCAUCAGUUAUAAAACAGUGUUGACACUGACUGAGGACACGCAUCCCAAGCCCAGAAAAAGAGAGAACAUCACCAUUUGGCCAGCAGUGACCUACAUGAUACAUUUUUAAAAGAUAAGACUUUUCCUCUUUUACUACCCAC